UGAAGAUCUUGGUGACUGAGUGGCGGACGGGUGAGUAACGCGUGGGUAACCUGCCUCAUACAGGGGGAUAACAGUUAGAAAUGACUGCUAAUACCGCAUGACGCAUAGGGGUCGCAUGAUCUUUAUGCCAAAGAUUUAUCGCUUCAAGAUGGACCCGCGUCUGAUUAGCUAGUUGGCAGGGCAACGGCCUACCAAGGCGACGAUCAGUAGCCGACCUGAGAGGGUGACCGGCCACAUUGGGACUGAGACACGGCCCAAACUCC
Molecule: ribosomal RNA, 263 nt
Filed under: uncultured Lachnospiraceae bacterium
Lineage: Bacteria; Bacillati; Bacillota; Clostridia; Lachnospirales; Lachnospiraceae
Description: partial 16S ribosomal RNA
Rfam family: Bacterial small subunit ribosomal RNA
Source: RNAcentral